This 267-nucleotide long non-coding RNA is filed under the name Sorghum bicolor (sorghum). Its description in RNAcentral is "long non-coding RNA (SBIC_LNC010869)". The record is from RNAcentral. Lineage: Eukaryota; Viridiplantae; Streptophyta; Magnoliopsida; Poales; Poaceae.
AUAGUGCUUGUUUAAGGACGCUAAGCUUAUCCUUAGGAAACCAUCAAUUUAUGCCAGCGAAGUGGUUUCCCCUCCAACGCUGACCUAUAUCAAGAUUAACUCAACGAUAUCUGCAAUAUUUAUUAUAGACAUAUGCAUCGAGAACCGCCCUUUUAAAGUUUCUAUAAAUGAAGAGGAAGAGGGGGUUGGAGAUCUCAAAUGUGGUAAGGAUGGAGAGACAAAUUGAUUGGAGAGAUGUUUUAUAUGAGCAAGGACUGGGUGAGGUAU